This 253-nucleotide ribosomal RNA is filed under the name uncultured bacterium. RNAcentral describes it as "partial 16S ribosomal RNA". It matches the Rfam family "Bacterial small subunit ribosomal RNA", at positions 524 to 776 of the family's 1533-position model. The record is from RNAcentral.
UACGGGGGGGGCAAGCGUUGUUCGGAAUUACUGGGCGUAAAGGGUGCGUAGGCGGCUUUCUAAGUCGGAUGUGAAAACUCUGGGCUCAACCCAGAGCCUGCAUCCGAAACUGGAGAGCUAGGGUUCUGGAGGGGAAAGCGGAAUUCCUGGUGUAGCGGUGUAAUGCGUAGAUAUCAGGAGGAACACCGGUGGCGAAGGCGGCUUUCUGGACAGAUACCGACGCUGAGGCACGAAAGCUAGGGGAGCAAACAGG